AGGACGAACGCUGGCGGCGUGCUUAACACAUGCAAGUCGAGCGGAAAGGCCCUUCGGGGUACUCGAGCGGCGAACGGGUGAGUAACACGUGAGCAAUCUGCCCUUAGCUUCGGGAUAGCUCCGGGAAACCGGAAUUAAUACCGGAUAUGACUAUGGCUGACAUCAGCCACGGUGGAAAGUUUUUCGGCUAGGGAUGAGCUCGCGGCCUAUCAGCUAGUUGGUGGGUAACGGCCUACCAAGGCGACGACGGGUA
RNAcentral lists this ribosomal RNA (253 nucleotides) under uncultured bacterium. Its description in RNAcentral is "partial small subunit ribosomal RNA". It matches the Rfam family "Bacterial small subunit ribosomal RNA", at positions 26 to 285 of the family's 1533-position model. The record is from RNAcentral.